GAUUUUCGCAAUGCCCGAAAGGGUGACUAUGCGACGCCGCGUGUGCGAUGAAGGUCUUCGGAUUGUAAAGCACUGUCAGCUGGGAGGAAUCUCGGGGGGUCGAACAGAUCCGCCGGGUGACAGUACCAGCAGAGGAAGCCACGGCUAACUCCGUGCCAGCAGCCGCGGUAAUACGGAGGUGGCAGGCGUUACUCGGAUUGAUUGGGUGUAAAGGGUGUGUAGGCGGUGCGCUAAGUCGAGUGUGAAAUCCCUUGGCUUAACCAAGGAACUGCAUUCGAAACUGGCGUACUUGAGUGUUGGAGAGGAAAGCGGAAUUCCCGGUGUAACAGUGAAAUGUGUAGAUAUCGGGAGGAACACCAGUGGCGAAGGCGGCUUUCUGGACAUCUACUGACGCUGAAACACGAGAGCAUGGGGAGCAAACAGGAUUAGAUACCCUGGUAGUCCACGCCCUAAACGGUGGGCACUAAGUAGAGGGGUUUUAAUC
This 484-nucleotide ribosomal RNA is filed under the name uncultured bacterium. RNAcentral's name for it is "bacterial SSU rRNA". It matches the Rfam family "Bacterial small subunit ribosomal RNA", at positions 359 to 836 of the family's 1533-position model. The record is from RNAcentral.